Canis lupus familiaris (dog) is the source of this 1301-nucleotide long non-coding RNA. RefSeq lists it as uncharacterized. The transcript is spliced from 2 exons. Lineage: Eukaryota; Metazoa; Chordata; Mammalia; Carnivora; Canidae. The record is from RefSeq and is a predicted model, not a curated record.
UCUGGGACACUCCCUUACUCCCUUUUACUUUCUGCAGAAGUAGUUUCUCCCCAGGCCCCAAAUGGGUUUCCAAGCCACCUGUUUUCUAUUGCAAACUCACCAGCCUUGUGUCUUCCCCGGUAAGAAAAUGGAGAGAUAGAAGGAGCCUUGGAUUUGGGGGAGAAGGCCUGGGAUCUAGGCCCCACUCUCCACUUAGCAGCUGUGUAACCUUAGGCAAGUGGCCUAACCUCUCUGAGCUUUUGCCUCAUUGGAAGCUGAGGAAGCCCAAGCUCCCUCCGCGGUCAUCAUGAGAUCACACUGGUUUGUUCAAAUGGUUUGAACACUCCACGUUCUCCCACGGAGGGGCCACACGGGGGAACCGUGCUACCUUGGGGGAUUGAGGGCUAUGUGAGGCAUCCAGAGAGGGUCCCAGUGUGGGGAGGUACUAGAUGAUUUAAUCCCUUGCCCCCUGUACUGGGUUAGGUACUAUCCCCACCCAAAAUUCAUGUCCACUUGGAACCUCAGAAAGUGACCUUAGGGGCUUUGCAGAUAUAAUUCGUUAAGAUGCAGCUGUACUGGACCAGGGUGGACCCCUCAUCCGGUAUGACCUGUGGCCUUAUAAAAAGAAAAGAGGACACUCAGAAAACAGACACAGGCCACGUGAAGACAGGCACACAUGAGGGAUACAGUGUAAGUCAUGGAGCUCUAAGGCUGCUGAGAGCCACCAGAAGCUGGGUGAGGCCUGGGACCCAUUCUCUCUCUGAGCCUCCAGGAGGAAUAACCUGGCUGAUACCUUGAUUUCAGCUUUGUAGCCUCCAGGCUAGGAGAGAAUAGAUGCUGUUAUCUUAAGCCACUGAGUUUGUGGGAGUUUGUUCACAGCGGCCCUGAAAGACGAAUCCCCACCUCUACCCUUGGUUUCAAAUCCUUGACUCUUAGGGCUUCCUAAUAAUCAACUUUCUACUUUCUAUUUGCCCAGAAAAAGAAAGACAGCUUUGAGGGUAGGGAAGUCGGGGAGGGGAAGGACACCAAAACUCAAACCUCGGAGAUUUCACAGCAGACCUGAAGCCUCCAGAGAUAGAAAAGAAACCGGGCCUGGGGCCGAGAACCUUGAGCAGAGAAGCUCUGAGCAUAAUCAAGUGUUCCCCUCCUGGCAUGAUUCCACAGUCAGCUAGACUUAAUGUUGCUAAUGAAUAAAUAAGAAGAGCCGACCGGAGCCAGAGGUUUCUCUGAAAAAUCAAAGCCAUAUUUUCAUUCAUGCCUUUGAAAGAAGUGAGAUUUUAGUAUUAGUUUAAUAUUCAAUGAAUAAAACUAUCUUGAGUGGA